This 31-nucleotide non-coding RNA is filed under the name Mus musculus (house mouse). The record is from RNAcentral. Lineage: Eukaryota; Metazoa; Chordata; Mammalia; Rodentia; Muridae.
UAGGUAUGGCUAUGAAACAUUGUUAAAAAGA